Molecule: ribosomal RNA, 2920 nt
Filed under: Staphylococcus aureus
Lineage: Bacteria; Bacillati; Bacillota; Bacilli; Caryophanales; Staphylococcaceae
Description: bacterial LSU rRNA
Rfam family: Bacterial large subunit ribosomal RNA
Source: RNAcentral
UUAAGUUAUUAAGGGCGCACGGUGGAUGCCUUGGCACUAGAAGCCGAUGAAGGACGUUACUAACGACGAUAUGCUUUGGGGAGCUGUAAGUAAGCUUUGAUCCAGAGAUUUCCGAAUGGGGAAACCCAACAUGAGUUAUGUCAUGUUAUCGAUAUGUGAAUACAUAGCAUAUCAGAAGGCACACCCGGAGAACUGAAACAUCUUAGUACCCGGAGGAAGAGAAAGAAAAUUCGAUUCCCUUAGUAGCGGCGAGCGAAACGGGAAGAGCCCAAACCAACAAGCUUGCUUGUUGGGGUUGUAGGACACUCUAUACGGAGUUACAAAGGACGACAUUAGACGAAUCAUCUGGAAAGAUGAAUCAAAGAAGGUAAUAAUCCUGUAGUCGAAAAUGUUGUCUCUCUUGAGUGGAUCCUGAGUACGACGGAGCACGUGAAAUUCCGUCGGAAUCUGGGAGGACCAUCUCCUAAGGCUAAAUACUCUCUAGUGACCGAUAGUGAACCAGUACCGUGAGGGAAAGGUGAAAAGCACCCCGGAAGGGGAGUGAAAUAGAACCUGAAACCGUGUGCUUACAAGUAGUCAGAGCCCGUUAAUGGGUGAUGGCGUGCCUUUUGUAGAAUGAACCGGCGAGUUACGAUUUGAUGCAAGGUUAAGCAGUAAAUGUGGAGCCGUAGCGAAAGCGAGUCUGAAUAGGGCGUUUAGUAUUUGGUCGUAGACCCGAAACCAGGUGAUCUACCCUUGGUCAGGUUGAAGUUCAGGUAACACUGAAUGGAGGACCGAACCGACUUACGUUGAAAAGUGAGCGGAUGAACUGAGGGUAGCGGAGAAAUUCCAAUCGAACCUGGAGAUAGCUGGUUCUCUCCGAAAUAGCUUUAGGGCUAGCCUCAAGUGAUGAUUAUUGGAGGUAGAGCACUGUUUGGACGAGGGGCCCCUCUCGGGUUACCGAAUUCAGACAAACUCCGAAUGCCAAUUAAUUUAACUUGGGAGUCAGAACAUGGGUGAUAAGGUCCGUGUUCGAAAGGGAAACAGCCCAGACCACCAGCUAAGGUCCCAAAAUAUAUGUUAAGUGGAAAAGGAUGUGGCGUUGCCCAGACAACUAGGAUGUUGGCUUAGAAGCAGCCAUCAUUUAAAGAGUGCGUAAUAGCUCACUAGUCGAGUGACACUGCGCCGAAAAUGUACCGGGGCUAAACAUAUUACCGAAGCUGUGGAUUGUCCUUUGGACAAUGGUAGGAGAGCGUUCUAAGGGCGUUGAAGCAUGAUCGUAAGGACAUGUGGAGCGCUUAGAAGUGAGAAUGCCGGUGUGAGUAGCGAAAGACGGGUGAGAAUCCCGUCCACCGAUUGACUAAGGUUUCCAGAGGAAGGCUCGUCCGCUCUGGGUUAGUCGGGUCCUAAGCUGAGGCCGACAGGCGUAGGCGAUGGAUAACAGGUUGAUAUUCCUGUACCACCUAUAAUCGUUUUAAUCGAUGGGGGACGCAGUAGGAUAGGCGAAGCGUGCGAUUGGAUUGCACGUCUAAGCAGUAAGGCUGAGUAUUAGGCAAAUCCGGUACUCGUUAAGGCUGAGCUGUGAUGGGGAGAAGACGUUGUGUCUUCGAGUCGUUGAUUUCACACUGCCGAGAAAAGCCUCUAGAUAGAAAAUAGGUGCCCGUACCGCAAACCGACACAGGUAGUCAAGAUGAGAAUUCUAAGGUGAGCGAGCGAACUCUCGUUAAGGAACUCGGCAAAAUGACCCCGUAACUUCGGGAGAAGGGGUGCUCUUUAGGGUUAACGCCCAGAAGAGCCGCAGUGAAUAGGCCCAAGCGACUGUUUAUCAAAAACACAGGUCUCUGCUAAACCGUAAGGUGAUGUAUAGGGGCUGACGCCUGCCCGGUGCUGGAAGGUUAAGAGGAGUGGUUAGCUUCUGCGAAGCUACGAAUCGAAGCCCCAGUAAACGGCGGCCGUAACUAUAACGGUCCUAAGGUAGCGAAAUUCCUUGUCGGGUAAGUUCCGACCCGCACGAAAGGCGUAACGAUUUGGGCACUGUCUCAACGAGAGACUCGGUGAAAUCAUAGUACCUGUGAAGAUGCAGGUUACCCGCGACAGGACGGAAAGACCCCGUGGAGCUUUACUGUAGCCUGAUAUUGAAAUUCGGCACAGCUUGUACAGGAUAGGUAGGAGCCUUUGAAACGUGAGCGCUAGCUUACGUGGAGGCGCUGGUGGGAUACUACCCUAGCUGUGUUGGCUUUCUAACCCGCACCACUUAUCGUGGUGGGAGACAGUGUCAGGCGGGCAGUUUGACUGGGGCGGUCGCCUCCUAAAAGGUAACGGAGGCGCUCAAAGGUUCCCUCAGAAUGGUUGGAAAUCAUUCAUAGAGUGUAAAGGCAUAAGGGAGCUUGACUGCGAGACCUACAAGUCGAGCAGGGUCGAAAGACGGACUUAGUGAUCCGGUGGUUCCGCAUGGAAGGGCCAUCGCUCAACGGAUAAAAGCUACCCCGGGGAUAACAGGCUUAUCUCCCCCAAGAGUUCACAUCGACGGGGAGGUUUGGCACCUCGAUGUCGGCUCAUCGCAUCCUGGGGCUGUAGUCGGUCCCAAGGGUUGGGCUGUUCGCCCAUUAAAGCGGUACGCGAGCUGGGUUCAGAACGUCGUGAGACAGUUCGGUCCCUAUCCGUCGUGGGCGUAGGAAAUUUGAGAGGAGCUGUCCUUAGUACGAGAGGACCGGGAUGGACAUACCUCUGGUGUACCAGUUGUCGUGCCAACGGCAUAGCUGGGUAGCUAUGUGUGGACGGGAUAAGUGCUGAAAGCAUCUAAGCAUGAAGCCCCCCUCAAGAUGAGAUUUCCUAACUUCGGUUAUAAGAUCCCUCAAAGAUGAUGAGGUUAAUAGGUUCGAGGUGGAAGCAUGGUGACAUGUGGAGCUGACGAAUACUAAUCGAUCGAAGACUUAAUCAA